Molecule: ribosomal RNA, 304 nt
Filed under: Arthrobacter humicola
Lineage: Bacteria; Bacillati; Actinomycetota; Actinomycetes; Micrococcales; Micrococcaceae
Description: bacterial SSU rRNA
Rfam family: Bacterial small subunit ribosomal RNA
Source: RNAcentral
UGGCUCAGGAUGAACGCUGGCGGCGUGCUUAACACAUGCAAGUCGAACGAUGAUCCGGUGCUUGCACCGGGGAUUAGUGGCGAACGGGUGAGUAACACGUGAGUAACCUGCCCUUAACUCUGGGAUAAGCCUGGGAAACUGGGUCUAAUACCGGAUAUGACUGAUCAUCGCAUGGUGGUUGGUGGAAAGCUUUUUGUGGUUUUGGAUGGACUCGCGGCCUAUCAGCUUGUUGGUGAGGUAAUGGCUUACCAAGGCGACGACGGGUAGCCGGCCUGAGAGGGUGACCGGCCACACUGGGACUGAG